UUAAGCGACUAAGCGUACACGGUGGAUGCCCUGGCAGUCAGAGGCGAUGAAGGACGUGCUAAUCUGCGAAAAGCGUCGGUAAGGUGAUAUGAACCGUUACAGCCGGCGAUGUCCGAAUGGGGAAACCCAGUGCAAUUCGUUGCACUAUCGUUUGAUGAAUACAUAGUCAAACGAGGCGAACCGGGGGAACUGAAACAUCUAAGUACCCCGAGGAAAAGAAAUCAACCGAGAUUCCCCCAGUAGCGGCGAGCGAACGGGGAGCAGCCCGGAGUCUGAAUCAGCUUGUGUGUUAGUGGAAGCGUCUGGAAAGUCGCAGGGUACAGGGUGAUACUCCCGUACACUAAAACGCACAGGUUGUGAACUCGAAGAGUAGGGCGGGACACGUGGUAUCCUGUCUGAAUAUGGGGGGACCAUCCUCCAAGGCUAAAUACUCCUGACUGACCGAUAGUGAACCAGUACCGUGAGGGAAAGGCGAAAAGAACCCCGGCGAGGGGAGUGAAAAAGAACCUGAAACCGUGUACGUACAAGCAGUAGGAGCCCACUAGUUGGGUGACUGCGUACCUUUUGUAUAAUGGGUCAGCGACUUAUAUUCUGUAGCAAGGUUAACCGUAUAGGGGAGCCGCAGGGAAACCGAGUCUUAACUGGGCGUUAAGUUGCAGGGUAUAGACCCGAAACCCGGUGAUCUAGCCAUGGGCAGGUUGAAGGUUGGGUAACACUAACUGGAGGACCGAACCGACUAAUGUUGAAAAAUUAGCGGAUGACUUGUGGCUGGGGGUGAAAGGCCAAUCAAACCGGGAGAUAGCUGGUUCUCCCCGAAAGCUAUUUAGGUAGCGCCUCGUGAACUCAUCUUCGGGGGUAGAGCACUGUUUCGGCUAGGGGGUCAUCCCGACUUACCAACCCGAUGCAAACUACGAAUACCGAAGAAUGUUAUCACGGGAGACACACGGCGGGUGCUAACGUCCGUCGUGAAGAGGGAAACAACCCAGACCGCCAGCUAAGGUCCCAAAGUCAUGGUUAAGUGGGAAACGAUGUGGGAAGGCCCAGACAGCCAGGAUGUUGGCUUAGAAGCAGCCAUCAUUUAAAGAAAGCGUAAUAGCUCACUGGUCGAGUCGGCCUGCGCGGAAGAUGUAACGGGGCUAAACCAUGCACCGAAGCUGCGGCAGCGACGCUUAUGCGUUGUUGGGUAGGGGAGCGUUCUGUAAGCCGUUGAAGGUGGCCUGUGAGGGUUGCUGGAGGUAUCAGAAGUGCGAAUGCUGACAUAAGUAACGAUAAUGCGGGUGAAAAACCCGCACGCCGGAAGACCAAGGGUUCCUGUCCAACGUUAAUCGGGGCAGGGUGAGUCGACCCCUAAGGCGAGGCCGAAAGGCGUAGUCGAUGGGAAACAGGUUAAUAUUCCUGUACUUGGUGUUACUGCGAAGGGGGGACGGAGAAGGCUAUGUUGGCCGGGCGACGGUUGUCCCGGUUUAAGCAUGUAGGCGGAUGUUCCAGGUAAAUCCGGAACGUCAUUAACGCUGAGGUGUGAUGACGAGGCACUACGGUGCUGAAGUGACAAAUGCCCUGCUUCCAGGAAAAGCCUCUAAGCAUCAGGUAACAUCAAAUCGUACCCCAAACCGACACAGGUGGUCAGGUAGAGAAUACCAAGGCGCUUGAGAGAACUCGGGUGAAGGAACUAGGCAAAAUGGUGCCGUAACUUCGGGAGAAGGCACGCUGAUGGUAGGUGAAGUGACUUGCUCACGGAGCUGAAAUCAGUCGAAGAUACCAGCUGGCUGCAACUGUUUAUUAAAAACACAGCACUGUGCAAACACGAAAGUGGACGUAUACGGUGUGACGCCUGCCCGGUGCCGGAAGGUUAAUUGAUGGGGUUAUCCUCGCGGAGAAGCUCUUGAUCGAAGCCCCGGUAAACGGCGGCCGUAACUAUAACGGUCCUAAGGUAGCGAAAUUCCUUGUCGGGUAAGUUCCGACCUGCACGAAUGGCGUAAUGAUGGCCAGGCUGUCUCCACCCGAGACUCAGUGAAAUUGAACUCGCUGUGAAGAUGCAGUGUACCCGCGGCAAGACGGAAAGACCCCGUGAACCUUUACUAUAGCUUGACACUGAACACUGGUCCUUGAUGUGUAGGAUAGGUGGGAGGCUUUGAAGUGUGGACGCCAGUCUGCAUGGAGCCAUCCUUGAAAUACCACCCUUUAAUGGCUGGUGUUCUAACGUGGGCCCCUAAUCGGGGUUGCGGACAGUGUCUGGUGGGUAGUUUGACUGGGGCGGUCUCCUCCUAAAGAGUAACGGAGGAGCACGAAGGUCAGCUAAUCCUGGUCGGACAUCAGGAGGUUAGUGCAAUGGCAUAAGCUGGCUUGACUGCGAGCGUGACGGCGCGAGCAGGUGCGAAAGCAGGUCAUAGUGAUCCGGUGGUUCUGAAUGGAAGGGCCAUCGCUCAACGGAUAAAAGGUACUCCGGGGAUAACAGGCUGAUACCGCCCAAGAGUUCAUAUCGACGGCGGUGUUUGGCACCUCGAUGUCGGCUCAUCACAUCCUGGGGCUGAAGUAGGUCCCAAGGGUAUGGCUGUUCGCCAUUUAAAGUGGUACGCGAGCUGGGUUUAGAACGUCGUGAGACAGUUCGGUCCCUAUCUGCCGUGGGCGCUGGAGAAUUGAGGGGGGCUGCUCCUAGUACGAGAGGACCGGAGUGGACGCAUCACUGGUGUUCGGGUUGUCAUGCCAAUGGCAUUGCCCGGUAGCUAAAUGCGGAAGAGAUAAGUGCUGAAAGCAUCUAAGCACGAAACUUGCCCCGAGAUGAGUUCUCCCUGACCCUUUAAGGGUCCUGAAGGAACGUUGAAGACGACGACGUUGAUAGGCCGGGUGUGUAAGCGCAGCGAUGCGUUGAGCUAACCGGUACUAAUGAACCGUGAGGCUUAACCUU
RNAcentral lists this ribosomal RNA (2905 nucleotides) under Klebsiella oxytoca. RNAcentral describes it as "bacterial LSU rRNA". It matches the Rfam family "Bacterial large subunit ribosomal RNA". The record is from RNAcentral. Lineage: Bacteria; Pseudomonadati; Pseudomonadota; Gammaproteobacteria; Enterobacterales; Enterobacteriaceae.